Eublepharis macularius is the source of this 313-nucleotide long non-coding RNA. RefSeq lists it as uncharacterized. The transcript has 4 exons. Lineage: Eukaryota; Metazoa; Chordata; Lepidosauria; Squamata; Eublepharidae. The record is from RefSeq and is a predicted model, not a curated record.
GAACAACUUGCUGCUUCAGGCAAACUACAACUCCUGAUGGGAACUUCUGGAAGAUAAGGGACUCAGUUCCAGUUCACUAUUUCACAAGGGCUUGAUGGUGCUCAUAAUCUGGUUCUGGGAGGUGGUCUGGAUCCAGUGAAAAGAUGAAAUAUGCUGGAAAAGAUGCAUUCUAAUUAAAAGACCCCUCAGGAUGGCGCAGGCUGGUUUGGAUCAUGGGACACAGCAUUGUGCAUUGGGAAGCUGGCUAUGCAAGAAGAUCAGGCUGGAGUUUGGACCUGGGGCUUGCAGACUUAAUAUCCAUCAAGGGGAUCAG